UGCAGUCGAACGCUUCUUUUCCCACCGGAGCUUGCUCCACCGGGAAAAGAGGAGUGGCGAACGGGUGAGUAACACGUGGGUAACCUGCCCAUCAGAAGGGGAUAACACUUGGAAACAGGUGCUAAUACCGUAUAACAAUCGAAACCGCAUGGUUUCGUUUUGAAAGGCGCUUUACGGUGCCGCUGAUGGAUGGACCCGCGGUGCAUUAGCUAGUUGGUGAGGUAACGGCUCACCAAGGCCACGAUGCAUAGCCGACCUGAGAGGGUGAUCGGCCACAUUGGGACUGAGACACGGCCCAAACUCCUACGGGAGGCAGCAGUAGGGAAUCUUCGGCAAUGGACGAAAGUCUGACCGAGCAACGCCGCGUGAGUGAAGAAGGUUUUCGGAUCGUAAAACUCUGUUGUUAGAGAAGAACAAGGGUGAGAGUAACUGUUCACCCCUUGACGGUAUCUAACCAGAAAGCCACGGCUAACUACGUGCCAGCAGCCGCGGUAAUACGUAGGUGGCAAGCGUUGUCCGGAUUUAUUGGGCGUAAAGCGAGCGCAGGCGGUUUCUUAAGUCUGAUGUGAAAGCCCCCGGCUCAACCGGGGAGGGUCAUUGGAAACUGGGAGACUUGAGUGCAGAAGAGGAGAGUGGAAUUCCAUGUGUAGCGGUGAAAUGCGUAGAUAUAUGGAGGAACACCAGUGGCGAAGGCGGCUCUCUGGUCUGUAACUGACGCUGAGGCUCGAAAGCGUGGGGAGCAAACAGGAUUAGAUACCCUGGUAGUCCACGCCGUAAACGAUGAGUGCUAAGUGUUGGAGGGUUUCCGCCCUUCAGUGCUGCAGCUAACGCAUUAAGCACUCCGCCUGGGGAGUACGACCGCAAGGUUGAAACUCAAAGGAAUUGACGGGGGCCCGCACAAGCGGUGGAGCAUGUGGUUUAAUUCGAAGCAACGCGAAGAACCUUACCAGGUCUUGACAUCCUUUGACCACUCU
Molecule: ribosomal RNA, 974 nt
Filed under: Enterococcus mundtii
Lineage: Bacteria; Bacillati; Bacillota; Bacilli; Lactobacillales; Enterococcaceae
Description: bacterial SSU rRNA
Rfam family: Bacterial small subunit ribosomal RNA
Source: RNAcentral